Molecule: ribosomal RNA, 396 nt
Filed under: uncultured bacterium
Lineage: Bacteria
Description: partial 16S ribosomal RNA
Rfam family: Bacterial small subunit ribosomal RNA
Source: RNAcentral
AUACGUAGGUCCCGAGCGUUGUCCGGAUUUAUUGGGCGUAAAGCGAGCGCAGGCGGUUUAAUAAGUCUGAAGUUAAAGGCAGUGGCUUAACCAUUGUUCGCUUUGGAAACUGUUAGACUUGAGUGCGGAAGGGGAGAGUGGAAUUCCAUGUGUAGCGGUGAAAUGCGUAGAUAUAUGGAGGAACACCGGUGGCGAAAGCGGCUCUCUGGUCUGUAACUGACGCUGAGGCUCGAAAGCGUGGGGAGCAAACAGGAUUAGAUACCCUGGUAGUCCACGCCGUAAACGAUGAGUGCUAGGUGUUAGGCCCUUUCCGGGGCUUAGUGCCGCAGCUAACGCAUUAAGCACUCCGCCUGGGGAGUACGACCGCAAGGUUGAAACUCAAAGGAAUUGACGGGG